Molecule: non-coding RNA, 5179 nt
Organism: Cyanistes caeruleus (blue tit)
Lineage: Eukaryota; Metazoa; Chordata; Aves; Passeriformes; Paridae
Source: RefSeq, a predicted model, not a curated record
AGCAGUGGGGAGAUCAUAGAUGAAGUUAAUAAUUUCAUUGCCUCUAAACAGUAAUUCCUCUUAAAGACUUCCUUUAUGUAUUUGUAGAUUAAAAAUUGUAGUUUAAAGCGAACUGUAGGAAAUUCGUGCUCCUUCUACCAAAUAAAAGCUUUGCCAUGAGAUCAGCAUGAAAACUUGCUGCAAUGUACUACAUUCCCAAUGCUAUCAAGUGUUGCUUAAACACAGCACAAAAUAACCUAUUUGAAAAGAGCAAUUUUAAUUCAUUUCAGUUGUGUGCAAAUAAGAGGGGAGAAAACCAGGAAGAUUGUAAUUAUCUAGUUUGCAGCAAAUAGUUAGUGAAUCCUUUAUGGAAUAUGUAAUUGUAGAUACACAUCAACUGUUAAAAGUAAUCUGCAUCAGCAGAAGUACUAAAGCCAGCAGCUUCUGCUCAGCAGAAUUUCAACAGCUAUUUGUUCCAAAAUGCUGGUGGUGCACAGCCUGGCCAUUAAUUCACACACUACUGGGUUAAUCCCACCAAGCUCUGACAUCUCAUCAGCUUUUAAACAGAAGAGACUAGUCAAAAACACCUGCAGCAAGCCAAAAGCAAAGAUGUUAAAGGGACUGAAAAGCCAUUAAAUCUAAUCCUCUGCUACAGCUGGAACCACAAAGUUAUUAGAUCUCAUUUCAGAACUUCUUAGGCAGUUUGUCCCCAUCCUACCAGUGUGAAGUUAUUUGAGAAAAAAAAUCUUCCAGCGCUUAAGAACCUCUCAUUUCAAGGCAUGGCUUUUCCUGGGCCAGUUCAAAGGGACUUGUUACAGUAACUAUACUUGUCCUUCCUCACAUGGGCUCUUUCCUCUGACAUCUACCCCACAGCUACUCUGCACCCAGUGUAUUUGUUUCCAGACAAUAAACAAACACAACACUUCUAUUCCCUUAGACAUUCUGGAAGGCAUGUGCUGCAUGUACUCCAUUUCCUGUUUUCUGAAGGCAGAAAAUGAGACCUGUUCACAGCACUUAAACAGAGGUUUUAAAUCAUUGCACAUGGCUUCAGCGCUUGGUUACAGAAGCACUUGAUAGGAAAGGUGCCCAAUAAUGUGACACAGAUUUCCCUGAUAUGUCAUUCCUGCCAUUUUCAGCCUCAAAACCUUCACAUGCCCAUGAUUACACUAAGAAGGAAACAAAACUAUUUCAGCAGCUGGUGACCCAGUUUGUACAAGUCUCACCCCUAGGACAAGACAACAAUUCCUACAGGCAGGUCAGCUACUGUGCUGAUACAGCCUCUGUCCUUAUCCUUAUUCCCCAGGACACAUCUGAACCCAUGGAAGCACUUUCAUCCAUUGCCAGAUGUUGCAGCCAUCCAGAAUAUUUUGGGCAGACCAGGACAGCACAUGGGACAGCAUAUGCAGUAGAGCCCCAAGAAAAGGAGAUACUGCAGUGGAUAAGCACAUUCCCAACAGCUGACUGAGGAAGGCAGAAAGAUGCAUCUAAAGAAUGGAAUGGUCUGUGGGAGCCAGCUGGUGACUUUCAGAGGCCUGUUUGUUUUAAGCAUGUUCAACAACAGUUGUGCAUUUCACUCCCAGAGAAGGAUGGAUAUUAUCUGCCAUUUUCUUGUGUAUUCAAAGCUUCCUCUCUGCAUAAAUUCACAUGAAGCUCUGGAAAAAACAAUAAACCUUUAACCACCCGACAAGAUUUAGAGCAUGGAAUCAGUCAUGUACAGAAGUUAAACCUCUUCUUUCACAGAAUAAUCACACACAUAGACUAACCCACUAUUAUUAAACUCAUUACCUGGCCUAAUAUUUAACAGUAUCUUUGCUGCUGACCUAAUUGUUUGGAAGCCAUAUGUAAAUCAGGAAUCUGCCUAGGAUUUCUGAAGGCAAUACAACCACCAGAUUGCAGUCACCUCAUUCUCCCCAAGGAAUGGGGGGGUAUUAAUUUCUGAGUUUCAUUAUUCUAGCAUAAAAAUAAUCUUGCAGUUGAAACUUAUAAGCAUAAGUACUUCAAGUACAGAUGACAUUUCAAGCUGUCCAGACAUUUAUUUCUAAAGCAUUUCAAAACUUUGCACACAAGUUAAAGCACCCAUGCUUGCUUCUCCUCACUGAGUGCCACUAACAAGUGAGUACUGCAGCAGAGAGCACAAUUUCUAAUUCUUCUACCUCUAGAAUAACAACGUAGGCCUGAACACAUACUCACUGUGCUACUCAUGUCCCUUUUAAUCAGAAGCUACUUCAGAGACAUGACAUCUGUUUGAGGAUCAAGGAGCUAGUAAGGCCUUCUUCCAAUUCCCCAGAUCCAAUGACACUAUUCUCUGAACUGACCUUAGUGUAAGUAACAAACUGUAAGAAUUUCAAAUUGUGCUGCUCUGAUGUAAAACCAAAAUAACUGACAUUCAGAACUCUGCUCAUUGUCAACUCCCAUUAAUAACAAACUUAUUCCAUUGCUGUAUCCAGAAUAUUUUCUUCCACCUGCAUCCAAAGGGGAAUAAAGAACACUCAUUACAGACAAGGCAUUAAGUUACAGUAAUGCUCCUGACACUGUGCUAAACAAUGGAAGAGAACAAGAGAACUUCCAUCCCUUUGUUCUCUGACUAAGCCUCCAGCCCUACUCCUUCCUCCUUCCAUCAUCCUGGGCCUCCUGCUCUUGGCCAGAGUCCCUGUCCCAGUCCUUCAACUCCAAGGCCCACAUACCUUGCCAGCUUCCCCAACAGGAAGAGAUGUACUCUGAAGAGCUGUACUGCACCUAAGCCAGAAGCUGCAGUAGGGCUCUUCAGAGAGACAGGCUCAGCUCAGGACUGAGCCUUAACACCAGUGCAAGACACUCCAGCAGCCUUUCAAGCAGCCAAGAGCUGAGCCAAAUAGCAUCUGUGUCUCCUCAUGAACAGCAGCAGGGGCACCCCGUGUCUCGAUACAGACACCACUUACCAACACUAUCCAAAGCUGAAGGAGGCCAUUGGUUGGGGUUUUCUCAAUAAUCAAGAGGUGUUACUUGGAAGUAAUUUAUAUGCUUUUUUUUUUUCUUUUGCAAUUUUAACAGUAAGAGGAAAAAAGUUCCUCUUUGGUUCCUCUAAAGUCAAAAAGAAUUUAACUUAUGAAUAGCAGUUUUUGAGAAGUCCUUAGUUUAAGAAAGCUAUCAAGGUAGGUUCCUCUUGCUCAAAUGCAAUGUGGGGUUUUUAUUACUCAAAGGGGAUCAAGUAAAAGAGGUGAUCAAGUAAAAAGAAACCCACAGAACCAUGAAGCAAGCAAAAAUAUAAGAAAUUACAAUGUAGAAAGAAAAACAAUUCCUUUCAAAACAAAGGCAAUGUCUUAUUUAGGGCAACACUGCUAUAUCAAAAAGUAAAUCCAUACUGUCUUUGGAUAAAAAACAGGGAAUUGAAGUCUUUAUGAACUAUAUAUGGAUAAAACAGAUGCUAAAGAUAUGAAAAGUUUCCAUUUAAUAUCUCCAAAUUCUUUGUUUCUUUCUCCUUUCCCAAUCCCUUAAAUUACAUUAAGUCCUUUGUACGUCUCCAAUCAGAUACAUGGAAAUGAGAAUCUUGCUUUGCAGGACUUGUGGCUCCCAUUAUCUGAACAGGUUAAUGAAACUGUCUAAUUCACAACAGAGUAUCUUAAUUUGCUGGAGUAUUUUUUGCUUCUGUCAGCUGGUAAGAAAAUUAUUUUCUCUUUCUGUAAGGGCAAUUCUUCCCCUAGAUUUCCCAGGUAGAUAAGCAAGUUCACUGUUCUUUUGCUUGAACUCCAGCAGCAUUGCUUCAUUUGAUAAAAGAAAUUAAUUUCUAAAAUAGAUACUACCUUGAAUGCACACCCUCUAUUGAAGCCACUGUCUUAAUAGUACAUUUUUAUAAAACAGUCUAAUAGAAAAGAAAGAAAAAAAAUUAAAAUAUUAUUGCUACAAGAAUUAUUCACUUGAGAGCUCCCAGUGUUGUCCUACUGUCAGUCCUAGAAACAUGUAAUCUCAUGCAAACUAAAUAAAGUGAUCCUUACCCAACUAAAAAUCAGGCUUAGCCUUUCUGGCUUAUCUUAAAAAGAAAUGAAAACAGAGUUAAAUUACCUUGCAACAGUUACCAGAACCUGGAAGUUUCACAAUGUUUCCCUUUGUGCAUUAGUAGGAAGAAAUUAAACAUAGGGUAAAAUGGACCAUGGGGCAAAUACUCCAAACAAAAAUGACAUUUAAAAAGCCAAUUACCUGCCACAGCCUGUGCACAUAGUGACAGUUACCUAACAAAAGGCAGAACCAGGCUAUGAAAGCAGGAGAUUUGUGUGAAGGAAAAGAACUGAGAACAUAAAUUCACUCAAGGUCAAAGAAUAAAUGAAACCAUAAGGAAUGAAUCUAGGUAAGUUUUAUAACAAACAGCAUCAAUUUACUGGGAAAAUGUAAUAAAUGUGUCAGUAGGACGGUGUUUCAAAGCAGAAUUGCCAUAAUCUUUGCAGUGUCAACCUUCACUUGACACUACUUCAUUACCAUGUUUUAGAGAUCAAAAUGAGGCAUCCAGCUGCAGUAUUUUUACAUAUUCCCAAAGUCAGAAGCUCUAAGUUACUGCACUCACCCUUUAGAACCUCAGUUUUCUCUGAAGUUUAGCAAGAUUUGCUCUCCUCACAAUUUAAGAGUGUUCUUUCCUACAUCAGGACCAGUCUUCUGCAAUUUAAGACUUGCUUAUUUAAAGCCAAGAAAUGGCAUUAUUAGAGAGCCUAAAGACUCACCUCAAACCACACCUACCCAGAGAGCCCCGGCUGACUCCAGUGGUACCACCACAUGACUGAGCACCCCAGUCCUUACAGCCUGGUUUGUUAGGGCCAACCUUAGCUCUAAUCACUAAAACAAACCCUGAAUGUAAAAACCAGGCAGUAAAGCAUCCCCCAUGACUUCAAACAGAUCUGCUGCUAGCUCUUUACUAGACCCACUAAUCCAUUCCUUCCCAGGUAGGCGGUGUUUGGAGCACACUGGCAAGCACUCAGUUGUAACAAAACUAAAAGGAGGCUGCAUUAGACCAACACUAGGUUGUCUCAUUAAAUUUAUACCCUAGACAAUUUACCACUGUUCCCAGCAGUUCCAUGCAUGAAACAAUUGACCUAGAAGUUAAAUAUGACAAAUCAAAACAGGAACCUUAUUGUCUCUUCACCUCUUCUUUUACACAUGAUUAAAAUGGCAUUACCAGGUGAGAUUUAAGUACACUAGAAAUAAAUACAGGCAGAAGUUCAGAAAAGUAAAAAGA